RNAcentral lists this ribosomal RNA (478 nucleotides) under uncultured bacterium. RNAcentral describes it as "partial 16S ribosomal RNA". It matches the Rfam family "Bacterial small subunit ribosomal RNA", at positions 28 to 523 of the family's 1533-position model. The record is from RNAcentral.
GACGAACGCUGGCGGCGUGCUUAACACAUGCAAGUCGAACGGUAAGGCCCUUCGGGGUACACGAGUGGCGAACGGGUGAGUAACACGUGGGUGAUCUGCCCUGCACUUCGGGAUUAGCCUGGGAAACUGGGUCUAAUACCGGAUAGGACUCCGGACUGCAUGGUCUGGGGUGGAAAGCUUUUGCGGUGUGGGAUGGGCCCGCGGCUUAUCAGCUUGUUGGUGGGGUGAUGGCCUACCAAGGCGACAACGGGUAGCCGGCCUGAGAGGGUGACCGGCCACACUGGGACUGAGAUACGGCCCAGACUCCUACGGGAGGCAGCAGUGGGGAAUAUUGCACAAUGGGCGCAAGCCUGAUGCAGCGACGCCGCGUGAGGGAUGACGGCCUUCGGGUUGUAAACCUCUUUCAGCAUCGACGAAGCGAAAGUGACGGUAGGUGCAGAAGAAGGACCGGCCAACUACGUGCCAGCCGCCGCCGUAA